This 460-nucleotide ribosomal RNA is filed under the name uncultured bacterium. RNAcentral describes it as "partial 16S ribosomal RNA". It matches the Rfam family "Bacterial small subunit ribosomal RNA", at positions 338 to 795 of the family's 1533-position model. The record is from RNAcentral.
CCUACGGGUGGCAGCAGUGAGGAAUAUUGGUCAAUGGACGCAAGUCUGAACCAGCCAUGCCGCGUGAAGGAAGACGGCUCUAUGAGUUGUAAACUGCUUUUGUACGAGGGUAAACUCAGAUACGCGUAUCUGUCUGAAAGUAUCGUACGAAUAAGGAUCGGCUAACUCCGUGCCAGCAGCCGCGGUAAUACGGAGGAUUCAAGCGUUAUCCGGAUUUAUUGGGUUUAAAGGGUGCGUAGGCGGUCGGAUAAGUUAGAGGUGAAAUCUCGAGGCUCAACUUCGGAAUUGCCUCUGAUACUGUUAGGCUAGAGAGUAGUUGCGGUAGGCGGAAUGUAUGGUGUAGCGGUGAAAUGCUUAGAGAUCAUACAGAACACCGAUUGCGAAGGCAGCUUACCAAGCUACUUCUGACGUUGAGGCACGAAAGCGUGGGGAGCAAACAGGAUUAGAUACCCCAGUAGUC